UUGGGCGCUUGCUAUCAUAUUUUAUUCCUCCACAUUCUGUAUCUGUCUGUACAAAGUUAGGAACCUGUAAUCCAGUAGUUGUAGUUGUUGUUUGUUACAUCUUCGCAAAUUUGUUUAUCGCUUUACUUUUUUUACAAACAUAAAUUAGUCCAUUAUUUUUUCUCGUUUGAAUUUGGUUUUUUACAUCAAAUCUGUCAGGGUCUUUUUUAAGCUGACUAUGUGUAAUGAACUUUGCUCAAUGAUGAAGGCCUUUCAGUAACCUUGAGUUGUUAAUUUCUGUGCCAUUUUGUCUCUUUACAUAAGGUGACAACAAAUUGCAAUCUUCAGUGUUAAUGUCUCUAUCAAUUUUAGAUAUCCUUUUUCUUGUAAUUUUCAUUUUCAGAUCUAUCUUUCUUUUCUCAAACCCCUAAACUGUCCUUUCCAGACUAACCUAUAGUUGUUAAUGUCAGUGUCAUUUUGGUCUCUUGUGGACAGUUGUCUCAUUUGCAAUCAUACCACAUCUUCUUUUUUAUAUAAAGCAAUCAUUCAAUUUAUUUAAAAUAUGCAAUCUAACUAAUCAAAUUUGAUAACUACUGUACCAACAGGGGAGGGUUUUUCUUUUUGAUCUACUUAUCAUGUUUAUAGAACUAUUGUCUCUUAGAUACCUUUUUAAAUAAAUAUAGUUGUACACGUC
RNAcentral lists this long non-coding RNA (673 nucleotides) under Mytilus galloprovincialis (Mediterranean mussel). The record is from RNAcentral. Lineage: Eukaryota; Metazoa; Mollusca; Bivalvia; Mytilida; Mytilidae.